This 109-nucleotide ribosomal RNA is filed under the name Pteropus alecto (black flying fox). Lineage: Eukaryota; Metazoa; Chordata; Mammalia; Chiroptera; Pteropodidae. The record is from RNAcentral.
GUCUAUGGCCAUGCCACCCUGAACGCGCCAGAUCUCGUCUGAUCUCGGAAGCUAAGCAGGGUCAGGCCUGGUUAAUACUUGGACCUCAAAAGACCAGGUGCUGUAGGCG